CAACUCGCUUCAAGAAAAUGAGCAACUGAGCAAGCUAGACAAUCUGAAGGCUUUAGAUCAACUGAAGAAGUAAAAUGGAUUCGCUGACAGUAAACUGAAGACAUGGAUGCAAUCCUGUGCUGAUGAGGUUGCCAUCUACCUACAUUCACUGACCCAGGACAACG
Mauremys reevesii (Reeves's turtle) is the source of this 164-nucleotide long non-coding RNA. RefSeq lists it as uncharacterized. Lineage: Eukaryota; Metazoa; Chordata; Testudines; Geoemydidae. The record is from RefSeq and is a predicted model, not a curated record. The transcript has 3 exons.